This is a long non-coding RNA of Aethalodelphis obliquidens (Pacific white-sided dolphin), 1261 nucleotides long. RefSeq lists it as uncharacterized. The record is from RefSeq and is a predicted model, not a curated record. Lineage: Eukaryota; Metazoa; Chordata; Mammalia; Artiodactyla; Delphinidae. The transcript has 2 exons.
AAGCCUAGACUUAGAAGUAAAGCGGUGACCCCUUCGCAGUGCCUGGUCACUUUUGGCCUGAGUGGGGGAGCAGUGCACUGCAGUUUUCCCCAAAGGAGACAAGUCAGGAUCCAAGGGCUGUUUUAAUUGGAAUUAUGUCUGCCUGAAGAAGUCUAAUUUUUCUCAGGAUCUUUGUCAUUCUCUGCGUGUUGCUCAAAUAAGAAAUUCCUGAGUCUGAAGUCUCGCUGUCCAGGAGGAGUCCCAAGAAGAGAUAAGAAGUCCACAGCCCCGAAAUAGAUUCUGUGAUAAACGGAGGCGGAAAAGAGCCUGCAGUAAGUACUAAGGAGGAAGGAACUAAAGAGUAUUGGAAAGUCCACUUGCUACAUGACAAAAGCAACCUGGAAAAAAUGGGAAGAGGGACCUCAGGAAUUUAACUUUUUACCUUGGGCCAACAGACCAUUUUGUAGUUCUGAAACUCCUUUGGACUUCAGUAUUGCUUUAGUUCCAAAACGGGACUGGAAAUGGGAAUGACAAAGCCAAAAAUAUCAAACAGCCUUGGAUCCUUGGUAAAAAAAACACUAGCAGCAACACAUGGCAGAGCUCACCUCCCCCAUGCUUCACAUUUCAUUGUAGGAGGAAAACCACAAGCUGAACCCUGCAAAGGCUAUUGUAAUUAACUCACAAGUCCUCCUGUGCUUCCUAGUGGUUUGAGUCUCUGAGGUGCUGAAGUAAUGUGAGAUGGGGUUACUUAAUAUGUGUUAUGGGAGGAGGAAACAAAAACGCAUUUUUAGUCUUGUUUGCUGAAAGAGUCCAUUAUGUCCAUUUAAUUUACUGUUUCCAGGUUCAAGGGAAUCAUCUCCACGUGACAUUUAUCUACGUUAAUUUGGGAUAAGAGGAGUUAACAUGUGUCAAUCAAGGUUUUAAUGGCAAAUAACAGAGACCAAGUCUGGCCCCUUGAAGCAGAAAAAACAUUUAUUUAAGUGUAUUAGAUGCUGUCCUAGAACCCAGGAGGGUGGAGAAUAAAGCUUGGAGGCUGUAUAAUCAGCCACAAUCCCUGACCUCAAUUCUGAGGCUGUCCUGAGUGACGCUCCACUGCCUUUGCUUCGGGCAAGAGACCACAGCUUGUCCUGGACCACGUCUCACACUGAACAAACUUCUGCCCUCUAUAAACUGGCUAUAGUGGCCACCAUCCCAGCACACCCCCGAAUCCUAAGCAGGGUCCUCCGGGUCCUUGCUCUCCAACGAUCUUUAUGAGGCUCUCCCCCUGCCUCUUUUGGGAAAC